This 896-nucleotide ribosomal RNA is filed under the name uncultured bacterium. RNAcentral describes it as "bacterial SSU rRNA". It matches the Rfam family "Bacterial small subunit ribosomal RNA", at positions 599 to 1501 of the family's 1533-position model. The record is from RNAcentral.
AGCCUACGGCUCAACCGUAGAACUGCAUCCAAAACUAUUUAGCUAGAGUGUGGGAGAGGAAGAUGGAAUUAGUUGUGUAGGGGUAAAAUCCGUAGAGAUAACUAGGAAUACCAAAAGCGAAGGCAAUCUUCUGGAACAUUACUGACGCUGAGGCGCGAAAGCGUGGGGAGCAAACAGGAUUAGAUACCCUGGUAGUCCACGCCCUAAACGAUGAAUGUUAGUCGUCGGGUAGCUAGUCUAUUCGGUGAUGCAGCUAACGCAUUAAACAUUCCGCCUGGGGAGUACGGUCGCGAGAUUAAAACUCAAAGGAAUAGACGGGGACCCGCACAAGUGGUGGAGCAUGUGGUUUAAUUCGAAGAUACGCGAAGAACCUUACCUAGCCUUGACAUAUUUAAGAACUCCGUAGAGAUACAGAGGUGCCUUCGGGAGCUUUCUUACAGGUGCUGCACGGCUGUCGUCAGCUCGUGUCGUGAGAUGUUGGGUUAAGUCCCGCAACGAGCGCAACCCUCGUCACUAGUUACUAACGGUUCGGCCGAGGACUCUAGUGAGACUGCCUUCGUAAGGAGGAGGAAGGUGAGGACGACGUCAAGUCAUCAUGGCCCUUACGGCUAGGGCAACACACGUGCUACAAUGGCCAGGACAGUGAGACGCGAUACCGUGAGGUGGAGCAAAUCUAUAAACCUGGUCUCAGUUCGGAUUGUAGUCUGCAACUCGACUACAUGAAGCUGGAAUCACUAGUAAUCGUAGAUCAGCUAUGCUACGGUGAAUACGUUCCCGGGUCUUGUACUCACCGCCCGUCACACCAUGGGAGUUGAUUUCACCCGAAGCGGGGAAGCUAAACUGGCUACCCUCCACGGUGGAAUUAGCGACUGGGGUGAAGUCGUAACAAGGUAACC